RNAcentral lists this ribosomal RNA (253 nucleotides) under uncultured bacterium. Its description in RNAcentral is "partial 16S ribosomal RNA". It matches the Rfam family "Bacterial small subunit ribosomal RNA", at positions 524 to 776 of the family's 1533-position model. The record is from RNAcentral.
UACGGGGGGGGCAAGCGUUGUUCGGAAUUACUGGGCGUAAAGGGCUUGUAGGUGGCCAACUAAGUCAGACGUGAAAUCCCUCAGCUUAACUGGGGAACUGCGUCUGAUACUGGAUGGCUUGAGUUUGGGAGAGGGACGCGGAAUUCCAGGUGUAGCGGUGAAAUGCGUAGAUAUCUGGAGGAACACCGGUGGCGAAGGCGGCAUCCUGGACCGACACUGACGCUGAGGAGCGAAAGCCAGGGGAGCAAACGGG